UUUGCACUUCAGGUUCUCUCGCCUCAAAGUCAGGGGGUUUACUAACAAUGUUUAUUCACAGAGAAAAUCAAAAAGUUUACUCGGGAUAACAGUGCGUGUCAUUUGGCUGACUUCCCUCAUCGACCAAUGAGACUAAACCUGAAACGAACAGACCUCUGGAAUAUUACUUUACCUGUGAACAUUUGUGUGAGUCGUCGUCAGAAGUUAAGAAAAGGUCAUAAAAGGGGUGGUGUGCAUUUGUGACGAUCAUCUUGCUGAACGAAACAUCGACGCCGAAUGCUAAUUUUCUGGAGGGAAAAGGUAAAGAACUCGGAGCCUGACCUGCCCCUGCAUGUGAAGGGGGGGAAGCGCGCCGCAGCCCCAUCACACCACAGGCAAUUUUUGAAAUUUCAUCACUUCUCAGACUGCACAAGAGGCAAACACUGAGCUCCACCAAGUGGAGAAGAUGAGAAAUGUGCAAAAAGGAAAGAAAUCAUCCACAAGCCACAUGUGUCGACAAAAUGUUACUUCCUGACAUGAUUUUAUUUUGUUUGUUGUUGUUGGUUUGUUUGUUGUUGUCGUCUUGCAUCGCCAAGUCAAUGCCAAGACAUCCCCGCAAGAAAACAUGAACACAGUACAUGUCAAAUGUUACAUUAUAUCACAGGGUAUAAAUGGAAAAAUAAAAGUCUGAUCAUUCUCAUGCAUUUGUGAAAGUAAAAU
Long non-coding RNA from Acanthopagrus latus (yellowfin seabream), 699 nucleotides. RefSeq lists it as uncharacterized. Lineage: Eukaryota; Metazoa; Chordata; Actinopteri; Spariformes; Sparidae. The record is from RefSeq and is a predicted model, not a curated record. The transcript has 4 exons.